RNAcentral lists this long non-coding RNA (270 nucleotides) under Vombatus ursinus (common wombat). RNAcentral's name for it is "lncRNA (ENSVURG00010009340.1)". Lineage: Eukaryota; Metazoa; Chordata; Mammalia; Diprotodontia; Vombatidae. The record is from RNAcentral.
CUGCUCUGUCCCUGGAUAUAAGGGUCAUUACUCCCAGCAUGCCAAGAAGACUUUCUUGGUUCCUCUUCCUCCUGAUCGGGAAUCUCUUCUGGAACCCCUCAAACUCCUCAGCUUCGUUGAAGACCCUCAAACCCACAGCUCCAGAGGCUUCUCCUAUAGCAGUGGAGACAUCCAAUGGGGUCUAUGAGGUCGAGGGAGGCCGGCGACUAGACUGGUGGAGUGCCCACAACUUCUGUGACCAGCGUUUUGCCCAACUGGCUUUGGAGCCCC